AUUUAUCCUGCAUGGCAAUGCGUUAUAGUCUGUUUUAAGGAAUCUUUUGUGCUUCUGUGCAUAUUCCUACUGCAGGCAAAGUGCUUGAGGAAGGAGCCUGUGCAGGCAGUCGGUAGUGUAGUAGCUGGCUCACGCGUAUGGAUUAGACUCGUGAGGUCAGAGGAGCUGUGUGCUGCUCUGUGCUGGUGUGGGGGGGAAGAGUGGAUUUUUCUACCCAAGUGAGUAGCGAUUCAGGCAGAAUCAUCCCUCAGCUCUUGUAAUUCUGAUGUGUUUUGAUGUGAAAGCUGCUACUGUCUAAGAUACGUGGAUCUUCUGACAUUUGUAGUGGACUGAGGAAUGCUUUUACUUGCUGCUGAGCCUGACUAUAACUGUAUCACUGUAGGACAGUAACGAUGGGGGCUCGAGCAACGGAAACAACUCGGGAACUGGAAAGCACCUCUGUAAAGUAUCAAAUAGGAGGACAUGCAGAGAAAAUGUGGCAGCGGCUCAAAGGAAUAAUCAGCAUUGCCGGAGCUGUUCCAUCAUUCCUGCCAAUAUAUGUGGCUUUGGAUACAGUGACAUGCUCACUGAAGCGGUCAAGCUUGUUUCUUCUCUCUUACUUCCCCAGCCUGAUUUGGAAAGAAGAAUUACCUUCAGCCCAGAUUGUUUGAAGGAAUUUGGAUAAUUUCAAGGUUCUGGUUUAUUGGCACAGAUAAAGAGAGAACAGAUUGUAGCAUGCAGCAAGAGUGGACUGUCAGAGCUGUGGUGCAAGUAUCAAACUCACUGCUGAAGCUAGGAUUUUGAGAAACAAAUCUCUAAGUUGUGUUGAAAAUAUUUUCCUUCACUGAAGCUGACAAAGGAAAGGAAAUAUUGUCCCCAGUGCCAUUAACUUCACUGCCAGUGCUGAAGCUCUGCUAAUAACACGCAUUGCCUCCCUCCCUCUGUGCAACUGCAACAAUAGAGCAUGCUGAAUCAAAGAGUCAGGGUUUUAUGUUUGCUUGGCACCAUGCUAACUUAAUCAAGAAUGAACUUGCUCAAGGAUUUUUUCCAUAGAAAUGGGACAAGACAUGCUGGUACCACGCCCAGAGUAUGACUCACAAGGAGAAAGCAGCAGAGAAGAGUGUUUUUUUCCUUUCACAAAAUCCCUCACUUCCUUUCAAGGUUAUGCACUUGUUUUUAUUUCUAAAUGUGUUAUUUGAUUCUCUUCUUAUUAAUGUUUGUAAAAAUAGUCUUAAAGGUAGAUGACAGUAAUAUUUCUUUAGCAGGUUGUUCUCCCCUCCUUUUUUCUUGCAGGAUGCAUACUACAUUCCUUCUAUGUUUUGUCACUUCAACACAACGUGAAAUCCUCAAUCCUGACAUGAUUGCAAGUGCUCUUGACUCCUCAUUAAUGGGUUGAUUCUAGCAAAUCAGACCAAAAGAUAUGAAUAAAAUCUCUACCAGCAUUCA
RNAcentral lists this long non-coding RNA (1425 nucleotides) under Phasianus colchicus (ring-necked pheasant). RNAcentral's name for it is "lncRNA (ENSPCLG00000012594.1)". Lineage: Eukaryota; Metazoa; Chordata; Aves; Galliformes; Phasianidae. The record is from RNAcentral.